GGAGCUACGAGCUGGGCCGCGGGCUGUCUGAAUGCGUAAACCAGGUUUUGCGCCUGCUCAUAUAAAGCUCUCCUAACCCGUCUUCCGGUGGGAAUUUUUUCACGUGGUCCAGAGUCGGAGACUGAGUUUAGCUUUACUGAGGAGCACUAAAUUUAGGCGGGUAUGAGUGAUUUCAGUGAAGAAUUAAAAGGGCCUGUGACAGAUGAUGAAGAAGUGGAAACAUCUGUGCGCAGUGGUGCAGGAAUGCAUUUUCCUUGGCUUCAAACAUACGUAGAAACUGUGGCCAUUGGAGGGAAAAGGAAGAAGGAUUUUGCUCAGACAACAAGUGCUUGUUUAAGUUUUAUCCAAGAAGCUCUGCUGAAGCACCAAUGGCAGCAAGCUGCAGAAUACAUGUACAGUUAUUUUCAGACCUUGGAAGAUUCAGAUAGCUACAAAAGGCAGGCUGCACCUGAGUAAUUUCUGCUUUGACAGAUUAUUUGGAAGCUCGGAAGUGAAAUUCUAUUUUAUCAUCCCAAAAGCAACAUGGAGACUUUCAAUACUUUUGCUGACCGGAUGAAAAAUAUUGGCGUCAUGAAUUAUUUAAAGAUCUCCUUACAACAUGCAUUAUACCUUCUGCAUCAUGGAAUGCUUAAAGAUGCUAAGAGAAAUCUGAGUGAGGCAGAGACAUGGAGACAUGGUGAAAAUACGUCUUCCCGGGAAAUAUUAAUCAACCUUAUUCAGGCCUAUAAAGGGCUCUUACAAUAUUAUACCUGGUCUAAAAAGAAGAUGGAAUUGUCAAAGCUUGAUAAGGAUGAUUAUGCUUACAAUGCAGUAGCCCAGGAUGUGUUCAACCACAGCUGGAAGACAUCUGCAAAUAUUUCUGCAUUGAUUAAAAUUCCUGGAGUUUGGGACCCUUUUGUGAAGAGUUAUGUAGAAAUGCUGGAAUUCUAUGGGGAUCGAGAUGGAGCCCAAGAGGUACUCACCAAUUAUGCAUAUGAUGAAAAGUUUCCAUCAAAUCCAAAUGCCCAUAUCUACUUAUACAACUUCCUAAAGAGACAGAAGGCACCA
This 1047-nucleotide small RNA is filed under the name Pongo abelii (Sumatran orangutan). RNAcentral's name for it is "processed transcript". Lineage: Eukaryota; Metazoa; Chordata; Mammalia; Primates; Hominidae. The record is from RNAcentral.